This is a transfer RNA of Hebeloma cylindrosporum, 83 nucleotides long. It matches the Rfam family "tRNA". From Rfam's summary of the family: Transfer RNA (tRNA) molecules are approximately 80 nucleotides in length. NCBI's taxonomy places the organism in Eukaryota, Fungi, Basidiomycota, Agaricomycetes, Agaricales, Hymenogastraceae. The record is from Rfam.
GCCCGCCUAGCUCAAUCGGAUAGAGCGUCAGACUCUUACGGGCAUAAAUCUGAAGGCUGCGAGUUCGACCCUCGCGGUGGGCU